UUGGAGGGCAAGUCUGGUGCCAGCAGCCGCGGUAAUUCCAGCUCCAAUAGCGUAUAUUAAAGUUGUUGCAGUUAAAAAGCUCGUAGUUGAACUUCGGGGUCUACCCAUUGGUCAGGCUUAAUUGUCUGCACUGGUGAGAUGGAUCUCUACCUCUCUGAGGAACUUUCAUGCCAUUUAUUUGGUGUGAUUGGAAAUCAGGACUGUUACUUUGAAAAAAUUAGAGUGUUUAAAGCAGACUAUCGUCUGAAUACAUUAGCAUGGAAUAAUGAAAUAGGACGGACUGAUUCUAUUUCGUUGGUUUCUAGGAUCACCGUAAUGAUUAAUAGGGAUAGUUGGGGGCAUUAGUAUUCAAUUGUCAGAGGUGAAAUUCUUGGAUUUAUUGAAGACUAACUACUGCGAAAGCAUUUGCCAAGGAUGUUUUCAUUAAUCAAGAACGAAAGUUAGGGGAUCGAAGACGAUCAGAUACCGUCGUAGUCUUAACCAUAAACUAUGCCGACUAGGGAUCGGACGAAGUUAAUUUUAUAAUGACGCGUUCGGCGCCUUACGGGAAAC
This 552-nucleotide ribosomal RNA is filed under the name uncultured Glomeromycotina. RNAcentral describes it as "SSU rRNA". It matches the Rfam family "Eukaryotic small subunit ribosomal RNA", at positions 548 to 1098 of the family's 1831-position model. The record is from RNAcentral. Lineage: Eukaryota; Fungi; Glomeromycota.